This 444-nucleotide ribosomal RNA is filed under the name uncultured organism. RNAcentral describes it as "partial 16S ribosomal RNA". It matches the Rfam family "Bacterial small subunit ribosomal RNA", at positions 335 to 796 of the family's 1533-position model. The record is from RNAcentral.
ACUCCUGCGGGAGGCAGCAGUGGGGAAUAUUGGACAAUGGGCGCAAGCCUGAUCCAGCCAUGCCGCGUGAGUGAUGAAGGCCCUAGGGUUGUAAAGCUCUUUCACCGGUGAAGAUAAUGACGGUAACCGGAGAAGAAGCCCCGGCUAACUUCGUGCCAGCAGCCGCGGUAAUACGAAGGGGGCUAGCGUUGUUCGGAUUUACUGGGCGUAAAGCGCACGUAGGCGGACUAUUAAGUCAGGGGUGAAAUCCCGGGGCUCAACCCCGGAACUGCCUUUGAUACUGGUAGUCUUGAGUUCGAGAGAGGUGAGUGGAAUUCCGAGUGUAGAGGUGAAAUUCGUAGAUAUUCGGAGGAACACCAGUGGCGAAGGCGGCUCACUGGCUCGAUACUGACGCUGAGGUGCGAAAGCGUGGGGAGCAAACAGGAUUAGAUACCCGAGUAGUCC